UGAAGUUAAAGNCAUUGGCUCAACCAAUGUAUGCUUUGGAAACUGUUAGACUNGAGUGCAGAAGGGGAGAGUGGAAUUCCAUGUGUAGCGGUGAAAUGCGUAGAUAUAUGGAGGAACACCGGUGGCGAAAGCGGCUCUCUGGUCUGUCACUGACGCUGAGGCUCGAAAGCGUGGGUAGCGAACAGGAUUAGAUACCCUGGUAGUNCACGCCGUAAACGCUGAGUGCUAGGUGUUAGGUCCUUUCCGGGACUUAGUGCCGACGCUAACGCAUUAAGCACUCCGCCUGGGGAGUACGACCGCAAGGUUGAAACUCAAAGGAAUUGACGGGGGCCCGCACAAGCGGUGGAGCAUGUGGUUUAAUUCGAAGCAACGCGAAGAACCUUACCAGGUCUUGACAUCCCGAUGCCCGCUCUAGAGAUAGAGUUUUUCUUCGGAACAUCGGAGACAGGUGGUGCAUGGUUGUCGUCAGCUCGUGUCGUGAGAUGUUGGGUUAAGUCCCGCAACGAGCGCAACCCUUAUUGUUAGUUGCCAUCAUUAAGUUGGGCACUCUAGCGAGACUGCCGGUAAUAAACCGGAGGAAGGUGGGGAUGACGUCAAAUCAUCAUGCCCCUUAUGACCUGGGCUACACACGUGCUACAAUGGUUGGUACAACGAGUCGCAAGCCGGUGACGGCAAGCUAAUCUCUGAAAGCCAAUCUCAGUUCGGAUUGUAGGCUGCAACUCGCCUACAUGAAGUCGGAAUCGCUAGUAAUCGCGGAUCAGCACGCCGCGGUGAAUACGUUCCCGGGCCUUGUACACACCGCCCGUCACACCACGAGAGUUUGUAACACCCAAAGUCGGUGAGGUAACCAUUUAUGGGGCCAGCCGCCUAAGGUGGGANGGA
This 882-nucleotide ribosomal RNA is filed under the name uncultured bacterium. RNAcentral describes it as "bacterial SSU rRNA". It matches the Rfam family "Bacterial small subunit ribosomal RNA", at positions 590 to 1471 of the family's 1533-position model. The record is from RNAcentral.